AGCGAAUAGAUACCCGGGUAGUCCACGCCGUAAACGAUGGAAGCUAGCCGUUGGUAAGCAUGCUUAUCAGUGGCGCAGCUAACGCAUUAAGCUUCCCGCCUGGGGGGUACGGUCGCAAGAUUAAAGCUCAAAGGAAUUGACGGGGGCCCGCACAAGCGGUGGAGCAUGUGGUUCAAUUCGACGCAACGCGAAGAACCUUACCAGCCCUUGACAUGUCCAGGACCGGUCGCAGAGACGCGACCUUCUCUUCGGAGCUUGGAACACAGGUGCUGCAUGGCUGUCGUCAGCUCGUGUCGUGAGAUGUUGGGUUUAAGUCCCGCAACGAGCGCAACCCUCGUCCUUAGUUGCCAUCAUUUAGUUGGGCACUCUAAGGAGACUGCCGGUGAUAAGCCGCGAGGAAGGUGGGGAUGACGUCAAGUCCUCAUGGCCCUUACGGGCUGGGCUACACACGUGCUACAAUGGCGGUGACAAUGGGCAGCGAACCAGCAAUGGGGGAGCUAAUCUCAAAAAGCCGUCUCAGUUC
RNAcentral lists this ribosomal RNA (523 nucleotides) under uncultured bacterium. RNAcentral describes it as "bacterial SSU rRNA". It matches the Rfam family "Bacterial small subunit ribosomal RNA", at positions 771 to 1294 of the family's 1533-position model. The record is from RNAcentral.